AAUCAACGCUGGCGGCGUGCCUAACACAUGCAAGUCGAACGCGAAAGUCCCGCAAGGGAUCAGUAGAGUGGCAAACGGGUGAGUAACACGUGGGUGACCUGCCUUCGAGUGGGGGAUAACGUCCCGAAAGGGACGCUAAUACCGCGUGACAUCCUGCCUUUGAAGAGGUGGAGCUUAAAGCUGGGGAUCGCAAGACCUAGCGCUUGAAGAGGGGCCCGCGCCUGAUUAGCUAGNGGUGAGGUAACGGCUCACCAAGGCAACGAUCAGUAUCCGGCCUGAGAGGGCGGACGGACACACUGGGACUGAGACACGGCCCAGACUCCUACGGAGGCAGCAGUGGGGAAUUGUUCGCAAUGGGCGCAAGCCUGACGACGCAACGCCGCGUGGAGGAUG
RNAcentral lists this ribosomal RNA (393 nucleotides) under uncultured bacterium. RNAcentral's name for it is "bacterial SSU rRNA". It matches the Rfam family "Bacterial small subunit ribosomal RNA", at positions 29 to 410 of the family's 1533-position model. The record is from RNAcentral.